Molecule: unclassified non-coding RNA, 2077 nt
Filed under: Rhopalosiphum maidis (corn leaf aphid)
Lineage: Eukaryota; Metazoa; Arthropoda; Insecta; Hemiptera; Aphididae
Description: transformer-2 protein homolog beta-like, transcript variant X3
Source: RNAcentral
AGUUUGGAGCGUCUGCAUCUCUUCCUUCACAAUUACUGUGUAUUAUCCGUUCCGUCGUUCGAUACUUUUUUUUUCAUUUUCUGCACGCCCGGUGACGAAAAAUUAUGUUUUGUUGUUGAAGUUAAUCUUCCAAUUGUAUCGAUUUUUUGCGUUAACGUCUAUACGCAAAACCCUCAUCGAGGAUUUUCGAUUUAUCUCCUGAACGAGAUUUAUUUAACACGGUGACGGACAGACACGUGAAUUGAGCUUCAAAAAUGAGUGACGUCGAGGAUCGCAACGGGAAUUCAAAAUCCCGUUCCAUUACUCCCAGCCGAAGCCGCAGCAGAUCGCCUAGCGAUCACAAGUCUCGCAGUCGAUCACCCACUCACUCGAAGACACGUUCUAGAUCACUAUCUCGACCACCCAGUCGAAAUGGUAGCAAGUAUAAGAGCCGCUCUAGGCAUUCAUACUCAAGGUCACGCUCUAGGUCUCGUUCGUAUUCUGGAGAUCGCCGUCGCAGUUAUCGGAGCCACUCACGAGGCUCUGGCUCGAGACGCAGCAGACAUGAAAACCCAAAACCUAAUAAAUGUCUGGGCAUAUUUGGCUUAAGUGUGUACACAACAGAACAUCAACUCUAUGAUAUAUUUGCUAAAUACGGUUCCAUUGACAAAAUCCUCAUUAUUAUUGAUGCUAAAAGUGGAAGGUCUCGCGGUUUUGGUUUUGCUUAUUUCAAAAAGCAUGAAGAUGCUAAGGUAGCUAAAGAAGAAUGCUCGGGCAUGGAAAUCGACGGCCGCAGAAUACGAGUAGAUUUUUCAAUUACCCAACGCCCUCACACACCAACACCUGGAAUUUAUAUGGGCAGACCAACAAUGAGAGAAGAAAGGUCAUCUAGGAGAAGAGGUUAUGAUAGAUAUGAUAAUAACCGAUACGAUCGUGGUGAUAGAUAUGACCGCGGAGAACGUUAUGAUAGAUAUGAUAGAGAUAGAGAUUAUGAUGAUUACUAUGAGGGUGGAUACAGAGGUGGUGGCGGCGGCGGCGGUGGUAGAGGUGGUGGUGGAGGCCACUACAGAGAACGCAGAUCACCAUCAUACUACAAAAAUAGAUCACGUUAUGAUAGAUCACGUUCACGUUCUUAUUCUCCACUUUUUCAGCUUUCAAAGUAUUUAAUCAAGAUUUCUCACAUAUUCAAUUUUUUAUUCAUUUCCUGAAGAACAUAUUCGAAGAAAAGAAUAUUUCAAACUGUCAAGAUAAUAUUAUAUAUAAAUUGACUUGAAGACUUCUCGAACUUCUAUAACUUUAGAACCUUUUUUUUUUUUUUUUAUAAAUUUAAAAAAAAAACUUAUAAGAAGAUUCUUCAAAUUACAAAAGUAGAACACAUGAAGACCCAUGUUCACAAUAUGACCCAAGGGUAGAAAAUUGGUAGACACUGAUGAAGAUCUUGAAGUUUGUCAAGAAAAUUAACAGUUUAUCGCCACUAAUUACAGAGGUCGUAAUAAAACCUAAAUGAGCUGGAAUAUCAUCAACGCAGGAAUGUUUUGUGAAGAAAUUGAAUAUACAUAAUUUUUUUAUUGCCCAAUUUUUUUUUUUUCAAACAAUUAAUUUUUUAUCUUAAAUAUUACCACUUUGUAACAAGACAAUUAGUACUAUUAAGUUAAUCAACUUCAUUAAUUUUUUUCAUUCAUAGGAACAUUGUUUUUCUUUACUAAUUAUUACUAUGUAUUUGUAUUUUCAUUUGUUCUGCUAAGGUGCGGAAAGAGUUUAAGAAAUUUUCUUUGAAGACUAGGGAUAACAUUGUAAUGUGAAGCAUUUGUCAAGUCUGAAGAAACAUUAAAAGGAGUGAAGAUGUUUGGUCAAACAUUUUGACAUUUUAAAUUUAGUUUCGCAAUUUUAGUUUUUCACAAUAUUUUUAGGCUCACCCUAUUCAAUUGCUCCUACCUUAAAUUGUUUUUGGUAAAUAUAAUCAACUUGUAAAUAAAUAUAUUUUUUUUUUUUUAAUUUAAACUUGUCUGACGCUACAUUAUGCAUAUGUUUAAAUUAAUUCAUUAUGUAAUAAGCAAACGAGUUAAAAGUGAAUAAUAAAAAGUUUUCGUAUUCUAAA